This is a long non-coding RNA of Scylla paramamosain (green mud crab), 412 nucleotides long. RefSeq lists it as uncharacterized. NCBI's taxonomy places the organism in Eukaryota, Metazoa, Arthropoda, Malacostraca, Decapoda, Portunidae. The record is from RefSeq and is a predicted model, not a curated record. The transcript has 2 exons.
GUUGCUCAAGAGACGUCGACAGAGGAGGUCCUGUGCGUGCGUCCGUGUGGGUGCUUGGUCAUCAUCGCAGGGAGGUGUAUUUAAAGGUGCCGCCAAGUCUGAAAGUCUACCUGAUGCAUCCUUAUCCUUUCCACGUUGAUAGUUGACAAACGGAAAUGACAGACAGAAAUGUGUUGCCAGGAUGAUGGGAAGACAGAAGAGGAUGUUGAAAGAAGAUGAGAGGAACAUCUCUCUCUACCUACUACUACUACUAUAUAUAUAUACAUUAUCUCUUUCUACCUGAACAAGUGUGUGUAUAAAGACUCAAUGUCAGCCAGCUGGUGCUGGUACAUGAGCUUCAGUGUUUUAAGUCCCAGACUCCUCAACUAUUAUUUAUGAUUUUUCUUUUAAAAUAAAUUUCCUCCAAGCGAGA